RNAcentral lists this ribosomal RNA (587 nucleotides) under uncultured bacterium. Its description in RNAcentral is "bacterial SSU rRNA". It matches the Rfam family "Bacterial small subunit ribosomal RNA", at positions 102 to 684 of the family's 1533-position model. The record is from RNAcentral.
ACGGGUGAGUAAUGCUUAGGAAUCUGCCUAUUAGUGGGGGACAACAUUCCGAAAGGAAUGCUAAUACCGCAUACGCCCUACGGGGGAAAGCAGGGGAUCUUCGGACCUUGCGCUAAUAGAUGAGCCUAAGUCAGAUUAGCUAGUUGGUGGGGUAAAGGCCUACCAAGGCGACGAUCUGUAGCGGGUCUGAGAGGAUGAUCCGCCACACUGGGACUGAGACACGGCCCAGACUCCUACGGGAGGCAGCAGUGGGGAAUAUUGGACAAUGGGCGAAAGCCUGAUCCAGCCAUGCCGCGUGUGUGAAGAAGGCCUUUUGGUUGUAAAGCACUUUAAGCGAGGAGGAGGCUACUGAGAUUAAUACUCUUGGAUAGUGGACGUUACUCGCAGAAUAAGCACCGGCUAACUCUGUGCCAGCAGCCGCGGUAAUACAGAGGGUGCGAGCGUUAAUCGGAUUUACUGGGCGUAAAGCGUGCGUAGGCGGCUUUUUAAGUCGGAUGUGAAAUCCCUGAGCUUAACUUAGGAAUUGCAUUCGAUACUGGGAAGCUAGAGUAUGGGAGAGGAUGGUAGAAUUCCACGUGUAGCGGUGA